CUUUAUCUCAUGUCCAUCUACAAGCUACCAAUGGGUUGCCAAUAGAAUUGACUAGAUGAGGAGAGCAUUUCUUUGGAAAGGGAAAGGAAAGUGUGAAUGGAUUUAACUGCCUUAUGAGCUGGGAUAGAGUCUACAGAUCCAAACAGGAGGGGGGACUUGGCAUAAAGAACAUCAGAAACACGAACCAAGCUUUGUUAGCUAAAUGGGCAUGAAAAUUAAUGGCAGGUACAGGAACUACUUGGAGGAACCAGAUCAGUAGUUGUUAUUAUUCUAGAAGAAAGUUUGGCGUGAGGGUCCGUAAAAGUCUCGUUAAUCUAUCUCCUAUUUGGAAGGAUAUCUGCAAGGAUCUCUCAACCUUCUGGAAUUGCACGUCCUUCAGAUUGGGAGAUGACAGCCAUAUAUCAGAUUUCUGGGUUGGUACCACUUCUCUUACCUAUCUUUUUGAUGAUCUAUAUUCCUGUGCAGUGAAAGAGAACAUGUCCGUUACUUCACAGUGGUGUUGGAGAAUGCUUCGGUAGAAAAUCUCUUCUCGUGGCCCAUUGUCC
This 545-nucleotide long non-coding RNA is filed under the name Phoenix dactylifera (date palm). Its description in RNAcentral is "long non-coding RNA (PDAC_LNC002450)". The record is from RNAcentral. Lineage: Eukaryota; Viridiplantae; Streptophyta; Magnoliopsida; Arecales; Arecaceae.